AUUGAACGCUGGCGGCAUGCCUUACACAUGCAAGUCGAACGGUAACAGGUCUUCGGAUGCUGACGAGUGGCGAACGGGUGAGUAAUACAUCGGAACGUGCCUAGUAGUGGGGGAUAACUACUCGAAAGAGUGGCUAAUACCGCAUGAGAUCUACGGAUGAAAGCAGGGGAUCGCAAUACCUUGUGCUACUAGAGCGGCCGAUGGCAGAUUAGAGAGUUGGUGGGAUAAAAGCUUACCAAGCCGACGAUCUGUAGCUGGUCUGAGAGGACGAUCAGCCGCACUGGGACUGAGACACGGCCCAGACUCCUACGGGAGGCAGCAGUGGGGAAUUUUGGACAAUGGGCGAAAGCCUGAUCCAGCAAUGCCGCGUGCAGGAUGAAGGCCUUCGGGUUGUAAACUGCUUUUGUACGGAACGAAAAGCCCCGGGUUAAUACCCUGGGGUCAUGACGGUACCGUAAGAAUAAGCACCGGCUAACUACGUGCCAGCCGCCGCCGUAA
Molecule: ribosomal RNA, 498 nt
Filed under: uncultured bacterium
Lineage: Bacteria
Description: partial 16S ribosomal RNA
Rfam family: Bacterial small subunit ribosomal RNA
Source: RNAcentral